RNAcentral lists this ribosomal RNA (420 nucleotides) under Sphincterochila candidissima. Its description in RNAcentral is "partial 28S ribosomal RNA". Lineage: Eukaryota; Metazoa; Mollusca; Gastropoda; Stylommatophora; Hygromiidae. The record is from RNAcentral.
AAACCGCCCAGAGGUAAACGGGUGGAUCCGCAAAGUCGGCCCGCGGAAUUCAGCGCGGCGCGCAGACCUGGGCUGUCGUGGUUUGGGAUCCCUGGGACCCAGCCGUGACGUCGUUCGGGGCUCCGCCGCGUGCACUUUCCGCGGGCAGAGUGCCACAACCGGUUCGGCGGCGGCUAAAAGUUUGGAGGGUUGUAGGUGGGGGCGCUUGCGUCCCUACCAGCCCUCCUCUUGCGAGUCGCCGCUGGACCGAGGGAAUGCCGUGCGCUUCGAGGCCACCCUCCCCUCCUUGUGAGUUCGACUGGGAGAGACUGGGCAACCGUGUCUCCCGACCGCUCAUCUGUGAUCGGCGUGGGGCUGGCCGGGCGUGCAUUAUCAAGGUUGGUGGCAAGUAUGUCGGCAUUCCACCCGACCCGUCUUGAA